AACACUUGGAAGUCCACAGGCAAGAAACAAACAAAAACAAAGAGAAAAAAAAUCCCAAAAGACUCUCCUUAUAGACAGGUGCAAAAAUCCUCUUUUGCAACCCAGAACUCAUUGUUUAGUAUGAGUUUUGGUACAGGGAAGAAGGAACAUG
This is a small nucleolar RNA of Delphinapterus leucas (beluga whale), 151 nucleotides long. NCBI's taxonomy places the organism in Eukaryota, Metazoa, Chordata, Mammalia, Artiodactyla, Monodontidae. The record is from Ensembl.